GACGAACGCUGGCGGCGUGCUUAACACAUGCAAGUCGAACGGAAAGGCCCGGCUUUUGUGCGGUGCUCGUGUGCCGAACACGUGAGUAUCACGUGAGUAACCUGCCCUUUACUGUGGGAUAACUUCAUGAGACUGGGGCUAUUACAGCAUAUAAGAUCCUGCUGCAUGGUGUGUGUUGGAGAGUGUCGGCGUUUGGGGAUGUACGCGAGGUUUAUCAUCUUGUUGGUGGGGUAGUGGCUUACCAAGGCUUUGACGGGUAGCCGGACUGAGAGGGUGACAGGGCACAUGGGCACUGAGGUAGGAGCCAGACGGGUACGGGAGGAAGAGGUGGGGAAUAUAGCGCAAUAGGCGGCAGCAUGAUGCAGCGUUGUCGGGUGCGAGAUGACGGCUUUCGGGUUAUAACCCGAUUUCGAAUGUGAAGAAGAGUGAGUGACGGUAACGAGUAAGGAAGCAACGGCUAACUACGUG
This 468-nucleotide ribosomal RNA is filed under the name uncultured bacterium. RNAcentral describes it as "partial 16S ribosomal RNA". It matches the Rfam family "Bacterial small subunit ribosomal RNA", at positions 28 to 507 of the family's 1533-position model. The record is from RNAcentral.